RNAcentral lists this ribosomal RNA (497 nucleotides) under uncultured bacterium. Its description in RNAcentral is "partial 16S ribosomal RNA". It matches the Rfam family "Bacterial small subunit ribosomal RNA", at positions 28 to 507 of the family's 1533-position model. The record is from RNAcentral.
GAUGAACGCUGGCAGCGUGCCUAAUACAUGCAAGUCGAGCGAACGGACUAGAAGCUUGCUUCUCUGAUGUUAGCGGCGGACGGGUGAGUAACACGUGGAUAACCUACCUAUAAGACUGGGAUAACUUCGGGAAACCGUAGCUAAUACCGGAUAAUAUUUUGAACCGCAUGGUUCAAAAGUGAAAGACGGUCUUGCUGUCACUUAUAGAUGGAUCCGCGCUGCAUUAGCUAGUUGGUAAGGUAACGGCUUACCAAGGCAACGAUGCAUAGCCGACCUGAGAGGGUGAUCGGCCACACUGGAACUGAGACACGGUCCAGACUCCUACGGGAGGCAGCAGUAGGGAAUCUUCCGCAAUGGGCGAAAGCCUGACGGAGCAACGCCGCGUGAGUGAUGAAGGUCUUCGGAUCGUAAAACUCUGUUAUUAGGGAAGAACAUAUGUGUAAGUAACUGUGCACAUCUUGACGGUACCUAAUCAGAAAGCCACGGCUAACUACGUG